Molecule: long non-coding RNA, 609 nt
Organism: Xenopus tropicalis (tropical clawed frog)
Lineage: Eukaryota; Metazoa; Chordata; Amphibia; Anura; Pipidae
Exons: 2
Source: RefSeq, a predicted model, not a curated record
CUUGAAAAUAUUACUGACAACUCAUACUUUUGGAUCGGCCUCACAAAGGAUAAAAAUAAUAAGAAUGUGUGGCUAUGGGUGGAUGGAACACUCCAUAAUUUAUCAGAUGGAUUCUGGGCCAAUAAUCAGCCAAAUAAUUAUGGUGGAACAGAAGACUGUGCUCACGUGUGGAAAGAGAAAAAGUGGAAUGAUGAUGAUUGCACCAAUCAGUCUAAAGCAAUCUGUGAGAAAAAACUGACAUGUUGUGUUUAGCUUUGGAGCCAUAAAUCUAGGUUUAUGAGCAGCUUAUUAGUAUAUAAAUGUCCAGCAAAAAAAUAGAAAAACUAAAAUCUCCUGAAAACAAUGGUGGAGACCCUAUAUCCUUCCAAAUAAUGAGCAUUAUAGCUCCACCUCACUGCUACUAUUUGCUAUAAUAUCUGGGGUGGGGCUGAAGAGAUACUUAACGAUGAAUGACAUGGUACUGCGCUCCCUCUAGUCAUUAUAUCUGCUGAGAAGAAAAGGUCCUCAAAAUUUCAGCCUUCGGUCAACUGACAUGUGCCUUCCCCAAAGAAUCACUUGCCUACAGCAUUGGGAUCUGUAUCUGCUUUUCAAUAAAUUGCUGCAAUGAAA